UACGUAGGGGGCAAGCGUUGUCCGGAUUUAUUGGGCGUAAAGAGCGCGUAGGCGGCCUUGCAGGUCUGCUGUGAAAACUCGAGGCUCAACCUCGAGAUGUCGGCGGAAACCGUCUGGCUAGAGUCCGGAAGAGGAGAGUGGAAUUCCUGGUGUAGCGGUGAAAUGCGCAGAUAUCAGGAAGAACACCUAUGGCGAAGGCAGCUCUCUGGGACGGUACUGACGCUGAGACACGAAAGCGUGGGGAGCGAACAGG
Molecule: ribosomal RNA, 253 nt
Filed under: uncultured bacterium
Lineage: Bacteria
Description: partial 16S ribosomal RNA
Rfam family: Bacterial small subunit ribosomal RNA
Source: RNAcentral